RNA transcript from Cebus imitator (Panamanian white-faced capuchin), 4407 nucleotides. It is a transcript of the gene named adenylyl cyclase-associated protein 1-like, with no coding region annotated. The transcript has a single exon. NCBI's taxonomy places the organism in Eukaryota, Metazoa, Chordata, Mammalia, Primates, Cebidae. The record is from RefSeq and is a predicted model, not a curated record.
AAAAAAAAAAAAAAAAAAUCUACCAAUAACAAAAAAUGAAGUACCCACUAAACCCUGAAAUUUUGUUCCUGCUAAAAAUGGCUGGGUGUGGUGGCCCACACCUGUAAUCCUAGCACUUUGUGGGGCCAGAGCAGCAGGAAUGCUUGAACCCAGGAGUUUGAGACCAGCCUGGGCAAUAUGGUGAGACCCCAUCUCUAAAAAAAAAAAAAAAAUAGAAAAAUUAGCUGGGUAUGGUGGCGCAUGCCUGUGGUUCCAGCUAUUCUGGAGGCUAAGGUGGAAGGAACACUUGAGUCGAGAAGGUUGAGGGAGCAGUAAAUCAUGAUUGAACCACUUAACACCAGCUGGGAUGACAGAGUGAGACCCUGCCUCAAGAAAAAAAGGUUUAUUCUGAUAGCCAAAUGUCUUAUGUGUAUGUCAUUUCCGUUAUAUACAUUCUAAGGAAAGAAGAUCUUCAUCCAAGAUUUGAAAUGUGUUCUAUCAUCCCCUUCUCAAUUGAUGUUAUAUUCAGCCUGUUUUUUGUUAUAUAUUAUUAGCAUAUAAUCAGAAGAUGUUUGAUUAACCCAAAUUCCCCAUGUAAAUUUAUUAUAUAUAAUUUUGUUUUUCUGUUUGCAAAAUAUUAUAUGAUCCUGUGACAUUUUAAGCUGUGGGCCUUUUUAUAAGAACCAUUGCCCAUGGUGUAAGCACUAUUGAGAACUGUCUCCAUAAUCUAAAUUAGGUGAUGGUUUGCCUAAAUAUUUAAAUCAAGGGUAGUUUUAGUGUUUUUCAGUUACUUGCAUUUGCAUUGUUUCUCAUUCACUAUCCUUGUUUUUGUUUUUAAAGUAAGUGAGUGUUAAUUUCCUCAGUUAGGUUUGUUGAUUCAGAUUCAUUAUAGACUUAAUGAUGAGGGCUGAAAUUUAUAGCUUACUUCCACAGUAAAUCUGCAUAUUGUCUUUUUAGUUUGUUUUCUCUGUACACACAUUGUUCUGCAUAACGAAUGAAAAAUCCUUGUAUUUUAGGGUAGGUUUCAGCAAUGCAGAUUUCCAUUGGGUGCCAUGUUGUUUCUUACACUGGCUUUAUAAGCUGCUAAAAUUAUUCCUAUUCCUAAUUGUAUACUAGCUGGUGAUAAUGGUAAAACUAAGGAAAAUAAGCUAACUUUGAAUAGAUGUGUUAUUCCUGUUUAGCACUACUUUAUGAUUAAAAUUUGGUGCUUUUGAAUUUACCUGGCAGUGUAGUCUAGGGCAGUGCUUUUUAGUGUCUAUAGCAAAAAACCCAUGUGGGUGUUUGUUUUUAAUUUUCAGUCUAAUAUAGAUCAGUACUUUUAUAAAGUACAAUAAAAGCUUUAGUAAUGUCAUGCUGCUAUAUUUGCAAACAUUUUUACUUUUUUUAAAAUUAGAUUCCCCUCCCUUCCUUCCUUCCUUUUUUUUUUUUUUUUUUUUUUUUUUUUUUUUUCCUCUUACCUCAUUGCAGAGCAGCAAGAGUCUGCAUACUGUACUUUGAAUAGCACUGUUUUAAGAGAGCGAACACUGGCCUGUGGUUCUCCCAAAACUCUGCCCCUGACUUUAGACAGAUUAAUUAACAUGCUUGGGGCCAAGUUUCCUAUUUUGAAAUAUAAUUUCAAUCAGAAAAUUUCUGAAGUCCUUCUUAAGGCCCUACUUUUUAUUCCAUUAGUAGAAUGUCAGUAGUUGGGACCACAUUUUGAAUGACCACAUAGAUUCAUUCAUUUUUCAACAACUAUUUAUUGAGUGCCUACUGUAUGUUGAUUUAGGUGUCAUAUUGCAAUGAACAAAGUACACAUAAAUCACUAUCUUCAUGGAAUUUACAUUUUAGUGGUUGGGGGGAAAUGUAUCAACAAAAUCAAUGAGUAGAUUAUGUGGUAUGUUAGAGAGUACAAUUGCUCUGGAAGAAAUAAGCCAGGGAGAUAGUUGGGCAGUUCUUGCCGGAAGUGGAGAGUGGCUGAUCAAAGUCCAGAGGUGGUACAUUAUGGCUGACAUGCAAAAUCUGGUAGAAAGAUUGGAGAGGGCAGUGGGCCACCUGGAGGCAGUAUCCCAUACCUCUGACAUGCACUGUGGGUAUGGAGACAGUCCUUCAAAAGCAGGAGCAGCUCCCUAUAUGCAGGCAUUUGACUCACUGCUUGCCAGUCCUGUGACAGAGUACUUGAAGAUCAGUAAAGAGAUUGGGGGAGACAUGCAGAAACAUGCGGAGAUGGUCCAUACAGGUUUGAAGUUGGAGCGAGCUCUCUUGGUUACAGCUUCUCAUUGUCAACACCCAGCAGAUAGCAAGCUUUCCGAUUUGUUGGCACCCAUCUCAGAGCAGAUCAAAGAAGUGAUAACCUUUCGGGAGAAGAACCGAGGGAGCAAGUUGUUUAAUCACCUGUCAGCUGUCAGCGAAAGCAUCCAGGCCCUGGGCUGGGUGGCUGUGGCUCCCAAGCCUGGCCCUUAUGUGAAAGCAUGAAUGAUGCUGCCAUGUUUUAUAUAAACUGAGUCCUCAAAGAGUACAAAGAUGUGGAUAAGAAGCAUGUAGACUGGGUCAGAGCUUAAGUAUAUGGACAGGGCUGCAGGCUUACAUUAAGGAGUUCCAUACCACCAGACUGGCAUGGAACAAAACGGGGCCUGUGGCAGAAGAACUGAGUGGACUGCCUUCUGGACCCUCUGCUGGAUCAGAUCCUCCUUCCCCUCCACCAGGCCCCCCUCCUCCGCCAGUCUCUACCAGUUCAGGCUCAGAUGAGUCUGCUUCCCGCUCAGCACUGUUUGCGCAGAUUAAUCGGGGAGAGCAUCACACAUGCCCUGAAACACAUGUUUGAUGACAUAAAGACUCACAGGAACCCUGCCUUGAAGGCUGAGUGGUCCAGUACACAGUGGCCCAAGCCAUUCUCUGCACCUAAACCCCAAAACAACCCAUCCCCCAAACCAGCCAUAAAGAAAGAGCCAGGUGUACUUGAACUGGAGGGCAAGAAGUGGAGAGUGGAAAAUCAGGAAAAUGUUUCCAACCUGUUGAUUGAUGACACAAAGCUGAAAUAGGUGGCUUACAUUUACAAGUGUGUCAACACGACGUUGCAAAUCAAGGGUGAAAUUCACUCCAUUGCAGUAGAUAACUCUAAGAAACUUGGCCUGGUAUUUGAUGACAUUGUGGAGAUAAUCAACAGUAGGGAUGUCAAAGUUCAGGUAAUGGGUAAAGUGACAAGCAUUUCCAUCAACAAAACAGAUGGCUGCCAUGCUUACCUGAGCAAAAAUUCCCUGGAUUGUGAAACAGUCACUGCUAAAUCUUCUGAGAAGAACGUCCUCAUUCCUACAGAAGGCAGUGGCUUUAAUGAAUUCCUAAGCAGUUCAAGACCCUAUGGAAUGGCAGAAGUUGGUCACCACAGUGACAGAAAUUGCUGGAUAAGUGAAGUGUCACUGGGUUCUUUGCCCUCCCUUCACACCAUGGGAUAAAUCUGUAUCAAGAUGGUUCUUUUGUAGAUUUUCUCUACCUUUCUGCUCUUAAAACUGCUUCUCUGCUCUGAGAAGCACAGCUACCUGCCUUCACUGAAAUAUACCUCAGGCUGAGAUUUGGGGUGGGAUAGCAGGUCAGUUGAUCUUCCCGCAGGAAGGUACAGCGCUUCCAUAUCAGCUCAACCAUGCCACCAGUCCAUAAGGAACUGCCAACCAGGACAACAUUUUAGCUUUGAGCUUUUGGGCAUUAUUCUACCAACAAACAGUCCAUUGAGAAGAAAACAGUCCCAGGAAUUAACAGAUCAGAAUGUUCACACUGGUUAAUCUUUUUCUAACAAUGAGCGUGAAGAUAGUAGAAGCUGGUGUGUUUUCAGAUGGUUCUUCUAACCAAACUAAUUUUUUACUGUUGACAAGUGAGGCAAGGGUUGCACUGGACCAAAGGCCAAGGCUUAGCCAUCCAGCAUUCCACACAAAAUUGUUCCCUAUAAGCAUUCCUUUUAUUCCCUAUUCCAUCGUGGAUCUGCCCCAACCAUGCUGUGGCAGUGCCCUUCGUCCAGACCAGUUAAAGGAGUCUUGGACACUUUCUUUCUCUAGGAUUCCUGCCCAGCAGUUAAAAGGAAAAAAAAAAAGAAAAAGAAAGAAAAAACACAUCAUUCCGAGAAGUCUGGCAUUCCUGAAUCCUCUUUGCCUGCUAGGUGCCUGUUACCUGUCUUCACUGUCUCCUUUUCCCUGUCAUGCUCAUCAGCUAUGGCUUCUGUCCAAGCACUUGAACAGAGGACUAAAAACUCCAUUGCAGGCUGGUUUUAGGUCUUGAUUUAUGUAAGAAUCUUACACAGCACUGCUAAUGUAAAGUUCAGGUUUUUCCCUCUAGGACAAACGCUUACCAAAUGUGCAACUUUUUUUGGUGGAAAGAGAGAUUGUCCUGUGAUUUCUACCCAUUUCCUGAGGCCUGUGGAAAUAAACCUUUAUGUACUUAAAGUUUAAAAAAAAAAAAAAAAAA